ACUUGAGAUAUUGCAAGUGAUGAGCAAAACAGGGCGUCUCAGGGUCUUGACCACCUCAAGCCAGGUGAGACACCUUACAGGAUGUCUCCUAAGCUGAUCAGUCUAUGAACAUUUAGUGACCUACAGAAUCUCCCUGUGACAUCUGUUCACUGGGCAACAGCAGCUCACAGAUCUUUAAUAAAUGAAAUAAAUGUGACUGUAUGUCCUACAUCCCAUUCCUGUUGUCUUCCAUGUCUCCUCAGAGGAAGGCCUGAGGAGAGAAGACACAUAGUCAUGCUGACUAAACCAGAUCACCUAGAAUUACCAAAUGGAAAGAUUGUGCCUGCAGCCUGGCCUGUUGCCCACAGCGGUCUACCUGCCACACUGGGAAAGAUCGAGCAGAGACAGAGAAGAAAAGGAGGCUCCAUUUUUCAGGCUGCUCUCCCGCAGGCUCAUGUUUUGUGUUCAUGCCAGGCAGAGAACACAAAAUGUUCCAAUAAAUAAGUAUCAAAGGUUAGUGGUGAAAAUGAAGGAGGAGGAGGCAUUGCGUGAAAAACUAAACAUGCAAAAUAUUACACACAAAGAGAACCAAAAUGCAGGUUCACUGGAAAUGAUAGACAAUAUGUUAAAACAAGAGGAGAGAAGAGAGCUGAAAUAAUCAAAUGGAAACACACAAUUUAGGGCUAAGAUCUUGUUGUGUUCAGCCACAAAUGAUGGCCAGCAGUGAGGAAUCUGUGUGUUCUCCACACUCUUCGCUCCUGGGAAGUCAACUCACAUGGACCAUGAUAUCAAUAUCUGCUCCUUCCCCUAAUAUCUGUUUGACCUUGGGUCAGUUACUUAAACUUCCUAAGCCUUAGUUUCUUUGUCUGGAAAAUAGGGAUAGUUAUACCUACCACACAACCACUUUGUAAUGAAUAUGUUGGAAAUUAUAUGCAAAUUGGCUUCCGUUGGUGUUUGGAACAUAGUAGGUUUUUAACUGGAAUAUAAUAGCUACCAUUAUCAGUAUCAUCAUAUUAAUUUAUAUUUCCAUCUUCAGCCCUUAACCCAGGAUCUUCAGUAAAUGUUGAAUUCUCAAAUUUGUUAAAUUCACUUGUCUAUACUAAUAUUUUACUCUAGGUUUCUUAGAAUAUUCUAGAUAAUAUUAUUAUGUAGAAUAUGUUAUGUAAGCUUCAUCUUAUCUGUAAAUAUAGUUUUACUUUUUCCUUUCUAAUUUUUAUGUCGAUUACUUCUUUUUCUUGGCUUAUUGAAUUGGCUAGGAUUCCCGUACAGUGUUGAAUACGUGCAGCAAGACUGCACAUCUUGCCUUGUUCCUGGUCCCACAGAGAGAAUAUCCAGUACUUCACAAUAAGUAUGUGUUAAUUGUAGAUUUUAUUAGAUUGAGGAAGUUCCCUUUCCUUUCAAGUCAGUCUUUUUAUUUUAAACAUGUAUUGAAGUUUUGUCAAAUGUCUUCAUCUAUUGGAAUAAUUAUACAUAUCUCUUUUUUAUUCUGUUAAUAUUACAUUUCAAUCUUCUGUCUACCUAAAAUCCCUAGAAUAAUCUCCAUUUGGCUAUGAUGUGUUGUGCUUUUAUAUAUUACUGAAUUCUAUAUGCCAAUAUUAUUAAAAUUUUCUGUCUU
Molecule: long non-coding RNA, 1594 nt
Organism: Homo sapiens (human)
Lineage: Eukaryota; Metazoa; Chordata; Mammalia; Primates; Hominidae
Gene: CCDC26
Product: CCDC26 long non-coding RNA
Source: Ensembl